CGCGGGCCUAUCAGCUUGUUGGUGGGGUGAUGGCCCACCAAGGCGACGACGGGUAGCCGGCCUGAGAGGGUGUCCGGCCACACUGGGACUGAGAUACGGCCCAGACUCCUACGGGAGGCAGCAGUGGGGAAUAUUGCACAAUGGGCGCAAGCCUGAUGCAGCGACGCCGCGUGGGGGAUGACGGCCUUCGGGUUGUAAACCUCUUUCAAUAGGGACGAAGCGUAAGUGACGGUACCUAUAGAAGAAGCACCGGCCAACUACGUGCCAGCAGCCGCGGUAAUACGUAGGGUGCGAGCGUUGUCCGGAAUUACUGGGCGUAAAGAGCUCGUAGGUGGUUUGUCGCGUUGUUCGUGAAAACUCACAGCUUAACUGUGGGCGUGCGGGCGAUACGGGCAGACUGGAGUACUGCAGGGGAGACUGGAAUUCCUGGUGUAGCGGUGGAAUGCGCAAAUAUCAGGAGGAACACCGGUGGCGAAGGCGGGUCUCUGGGCAGUAACUGACGCUGAGGAGCGAAAGCGUGGGGAGCGAACAGGAUUAGAUACCCUGGUAGUCCACGCCGUAAACGGUGGGUACUAGGUGUGGGUUUCUUCCUUGGGAUCCGUGCCGUAGCUAACGCAUUAAGUACCCCGCCUGGGGAGUACGG
Molecule: ribosomal RNA, 643 nt
Filed under: uncultured actinomycete
Lineage: Bacteria; Bacillati; Actinomycetota; Actinomycetes; Actinomycetales
Description: bacterial SSU rRNA
Rfam family: Bacterial small subunit ribosomal RNA
Source: RNAcentral